RNAcentral lists this ribosomal RNA (253 nucleotides) under uncultured bacterium. Its description in RNAcentral is "partial 16S ribosomal RNA". It matches the Rfam family "Bacterial small subunit ribosomal RNA", at positions 524 to 776 of the family's 1533-position model. The record is from RNAcentral.
UACGGAGGGUGCAAGCGUUAUCCGGAUUCACUGGGUUUAAAGGGUGCGUAGGUGGGCAGUUAAGUCAGUGGUGAAAUCUCCGGGCUCAACCCGGAAACUGCCAUUGAUACUAUCUGUCUUGAAUAUCGUGGAGGUAAGCGGAAUAUGUCAUGUAGCGGUGAAAUGCUUAGAUAUGACUUAGAACACCAAUUGCGAAGGCAGCUCACUAAGCAGACAUUGACGCUGAGGCACGAAAGCGUGGGGAUCAAACAGG